This 814-nucleotide ribosomal RNA is filed under the name uncultured bacterium. Its description in RNAcentral is "bacterial SSU rRNA". It matches the Rfam family "Bacterial small subunit ribosomal RNA", at positions 51 to 878 of the family's 1533-position model. The record is from RNAcentral.
AUGCAUGCAAGUUGUACGAUGGUUAUGAUCUUCGGAUUGUAAUCUAGUAGCGAACGGCUGAGUAACACGUGAGUAACCUACCUUCAAGUGGGGAAUAACCUUUCAAAAGGAAGGCUAAUACCGCAUGUAAUAAAUCAAGCAUUGCUUGAUUUAUUAAAGUCUUAGGACGCUUGGAGACGGGCUUGCGGCUGAUUAGCUGGUUGGUAGGGUAAUGGCCUACCAAGGCGAUGAUCGGUAGCUGGUCUGAGAGGAUGGUCAGCCAGAUGGGGAUUGAGAUACGGCCCCAACUCCUACGGGAGGCAGCAGCAAGGGAUCUUGGGCAAUGGACGAAAGUCUGACCCAGCGACACCGCGUGAGGGAAGAAGGCCUUCGGGUUGUAAACCUCUUUUCUCGGGGAAGAAGUUUGACGGUACCCGGGGAAUAAGCCUUGGCUAAUUACGUGCCAGCAGCCGCGGUAAAACGUAGGAGGCGAACGUUAUCCGGAUUUACUGGGCGUAAAGAGAGCGUAGGCGGCUCUUUAAGUCGAGCGUGAAAUCUUCUGUCUCAACCAGAAGACGGUGUUUGAUACUGGAGGGCUCGAGAGCAGCAGAAGGAAAUGGAAUUCCCAGUGUAGCGGUGAAAUGCGUAGAUAUUGGGAAGAACACCAGUGGCGAAGGCGAUUUCCUAGGCUGUUUCUGACGCUGAGGCUCGAAAGCGUGGGGAGCGAAGCGGAUUAGAUACCCGCGUAGUCCACGCCCUAAACGGUGGACACUAGAUAUAGGAGGUAUCGACCCUUUCUGUGUCGAAGCUAACGCUUUAAGUGUCCCGUCCUGGG